UCCUUUAGGACUAAAUCUUUGACUUAGAAUAUUAGAUAGCUUUAAUCAAGUUUUAUGAAGUUUUUUAUUAAUAUGACAUGCUCCCCUAGGAAAAGUUUGUGAAUAAUCUUAACCCUUAGAUUAGGUUAACCAGUCACUUUCAAGCUAAUUCAAACUCUUGAUUCAAGUUGAUCAAAAGAAAUUUUGAUUAACUAAAUCCUUUGGUCUUGUAUAAUCCCACAGUCUAUUCAAGUGAUCAAAAGACUCGUGAUCACUUGAUAAGACUCUUUUUGUAAGUUGUGGAUCUCAAGGUCUCAAGUUCAGACUCUCAAUCAAGGAAUCCCAGUCAUAUCAAGUAGUGGAUCAUACAAGGCACAUCAAAUAUGGUUCUUCAAGAGCUUGUUAAUCAAGGUUAAAAUUGUGUGGCAUGAGCCUUAAGCAAUAGAUAAGGGAUGAGAAUGGAGAAUUCUUAUCCUCAUUCUGAAUAUUUUGGGUAUGGGACGAAUUACCUAGUUGCUCAUCGUAUUCACCUCUAUUCAUAGACUUUGGUAUAAUUUAAAUCAUAUGAUUGUCAAGUCUCUCUCCAGCAAGAAAUAUCAACACAAGGAGCAUCAAAGAUUCUUCUCUUACAACUUGAAAGUUAUGGUGAGAAUCAUAUGCCACGAGCCUUAAGUAGUGAAGAAUGAAUGUGAGUGGAGAAUUCCUAUCCUCAUUUUGAAUAUCUUUGGGUACGGGACGAAUGACCCAGUUGCUCAUCGUAUUCACCUUUACUCAUAAACUUUAGUGUGGUUCACAUCAAACAACUGCCAAGUCUCCUUCAUAUUCUCUUAUCAAUCCUUUAUUUUUCCUCAAUCACCUUGUUGUCAGCCUUAAUUGGUUGAACUAUGAAAGCUCUGACUUUCUCAUUGCACGGUGAGAAUACGUAUGCAGGAGAAUUCAGAUUCUUCGUUAGCUACCUUAUUUAUUGCUACCCCAUUAUUAACACUUCAUUAUCCAUUCAUAAAGCAAUACCAUAUUUUUGAGAUCGGAUAUCACUUCUCCUUGGACUCCAUGUACAUCCUUUUAGGACGAUAUAAUGGCAGUCCACCUUGUGAACCAAGAGUUGUUUGACUCGUACCCAAAAAUUUAAGUCUUUCUCUUUUGGCUAAGACGCAUGUUUACUCUUUAGUUCAGAGUCUAUUUCCUUCAUGGAUCCAAGAUACUAUCCUUCUUUAAUCUCAAACUGAUUCUUCCCCAGCAAGUGAUAUACUAUUUCUUGUACCCAACCAUACAUUCUUUUGGACCCCAUAUAUACCCUUUUAGGACGAUGUAACGGUAGUCCACCUUAUGAACCAAGAGUUGUUUGGCUCGUACCCAGAUAUUUAAUUCCUUCUUUUGUGGCUAAGACGCUUGUUUACUCUUCGGUUCAAAGUUCAUUCUCCUUUGUGGGUUCCCAUGUUACCAUUCUGUUGGUACAAGUUAUACUUUUUCAUCGCUUUCAAUCUCUCUUUGUUCUCGUGGUUCCACGAACUACGAAUACCCUGAUUUUCUCAUUGCACGAUGAGAAUACGUAGGCACGAGGAUGCGAAUCCUUGGCGAGCACAUUCUUAAUUAUUCCUUCCACCUUAGGGCACCAUUCAUAGCUUUCACUAUCCAUGUUCUAUCUUCAAUCAUUAAACUGGUCACCCCAGUGACAUACUAUUUCUUUGAAACCAGAUACAGUUUCCUUUGGAAUUCCAUAUAUACCCUUUUAGGACGAUAUAGCGGCAGUCUGCAUUUGUACCUAGAGUUGUUUAGCUCGUACCCAAACAUUUUAUUCUUUCUUUUUUAGCUAAGACGUCGUUUCCAUCUAGGGUACAAAUUCCAUUUCUUCUAUGGACUCCAAUAUAUACCCUGACCUUUGGUUCCAAAUUAUACCUUGUCAUUCACUGUUACCAAAACCUUCCAUUUGUUGACUUCGGUUACUUUCCUAUCAUUCCAUUCAUCUCCAUGAUGCAUCCAUGAUUCUACCUUCAUUCACUCCAUAUGAUAUACCCUAUAUCUUUAAGCCAAAUACACUAUCUCUUUGAGCUCCAUCUUGUGUCACCUUGUGAACCAAGAGUUGUUUGUCUCGUACACAAACAUUUAAUUCUCUUUGUUUUUGGCUAUACCAUAUAGUGGCAGACGCUUUCGGCUACCCACAUAUUGGUCAACGCCAGUUUUACUCCUGGGUUUCAGAUUUCAUGCCUCGUUGGAGUUUAAACAACAUAAUCCUUUGGUUUAGAUCAUACAUUUAUCACAACUUCUUUUCAUCUCCCACCACUAGUUCCAUGAACUACGGAACUCUGAAUUCCUUAUUGCACUAUGAGGAUAUGUAUGUAUGAGGGCCCCAAUCCUCACCGAGCACUCUAUCUAUUAUUUUCCUUUCCCCUUAUUCUUUUGUGAGUAAUCCUUAGAUAGAACACCCAUUCAAGCUUAGAACAAUCAAAAAGGUUUGUAUGGAGUACCAUGGAUGUAAGGGGUGCUAAUACUUUCCUCUUGCAUAACCGACUUCCUUACUCAUAUUCUCUUUCCUUAGGUUUUAUCGAUGUUUUCCAUUUCCUUCGGGAAUAAAUAAAGUUUGAUGGCGACUAUGUUGUAUGUUCGAGCGUGCGAUGCAUUCGGGUAUAUUUCCGCUAGCUUCAAUCUCCGCCAACAACCACCGCGCUAGAGGUUGCCUCGGGCAGUGGUUGUUCUCCAUACUCUAAAUUAAAACCACUAUCAGAAGCGCAAUGAUGAGCUGAAUAUGAAUCUGAAUUCAAUUUGAUAAGAUUCUCCCUCAGAAGGCCAAUUCAAAGAUGAAGGCUCAAGAACCCUAGGCACCUCAUGUUAAACUAAAUAGUUAUUACGAGGAAUCAAAGCCCAAGAGGUUAGGGCUUUGGUUCCCCUAAAAAAUACCUACAUCCUGGUGCGAAAUAAUUGAAGAAAAUGAGAGGUUCAAGAUUUACCUCGCCGGAGAAGACAAGUUGAAACGGUCUCAACUUCCCUUCUCUACUUUUCUUGCUGCGAAAUCAUCUUCUCCUUCUAUUCCUCUUCUUUCUUCUUCUAAAUCUGUGAGUGAAAUGGUGAGGAUCGAUUUUGAGUGCUCUGAGUUUGUGAGGGUCCGAGGGUUGAGAUUGAUGGAGGUCUAAUGAAGGUGAUGAGGAUAGAUCUAAUUCAGAGGUGAUAAAGAUUUAGAGAAGGUUUAGAGGUUUGUAGAUGGUUGUUGAGUUUGAGAGGUUGAAGAUGAUUGUUGGAAAUUAUCAUAUUCUAAUUUAGUGAUUUUGAGGGAGAAAUGAUUAGGGGAGAGAUUAUGAGGUAAUGAUUGGAUUUUGAUCAAUGAUUGGAGAAUAUGCUUUUAUAGGUUGUUAGGAUUUGUAUUUUGUGACAAUUUUGUUAGGGAAGUUUAACUGCAUUAUUAAAAUCAUGGGCACAAAGUUUCUUGGUUAGUUGUAACUAAAUUUGGCUUUGAAAUCGAGGCAUUCGGUUAGUUAUGUUUUCUGAAAUGUGAUUGGAUAGUUAUGUUCAGUUCAUUGGACUGAAUUAGUUGAUUGGCAAUGUUAGGUUUUGCAGAUGUUAAAUGGUUAACUGCAAUGUUGUUGUUGAAUGGAUUGACUCGAUUGUGAAUUGAUAUGUGUUGCUUUGCUUUUGAAUUGUUUUGCUAGAUUUUUCCUUGCCUUGCUAAUUGAAAUGGUGUGAUUGUUGCAAUAUCUGUUAAUGGAUUGUUGUUUGCACUAUAAGUUGUAUCAGCUAUGUUGUUGUUGCAAUUGUGUUGCAGUUUAUUGUUUGUUGUUUAAUAGGUUUAACAUUACCCGAUGAUGUUUGCAGCUUGUUGCUAAUUGUUCAUGUUGGUGCAGACUUGGUUGCUAUGUAAUGUACAUGUUCUGACUUUGCAUUUGGUUGGUGGCAUGUGUAGGUUCAUUUUCAAUGGAUGGUCUGCCUUGGUCAUUUGGUGUUGCAAUGUACGGCCUUGCAUAGAAAUGCUUGAAAAGGCCAUGGAUAGGCUAGUUUUACAAUGGCUUGUGGCAUGAUGAUGAACAUGGCCAAGGGUGACUUGUAAAUGAAGUAAGCAUGAUGGAAGCAAGCAAACAUGGAUUUUGAUGAUGAAUCAAUGGAAAAGGGAUUAGGUUAGGUCUUAGGAUAGUCAAGGGGGUCAGUUGACUUUAGUCAACUGGUUGACAAAAAGUCAAAUGUUGUAAAAAUGGUCAAUUGUGAUUUUGUACAUGUAUGGACUUUGAGUAUGAUUGUAUAACGAAACUUGAUAUUUUAAAUGGAUGGUAUGAAAAUG
Molecule: long non-coding RNA, 4243 nt
Organism: Lathyrus oleraceus (garden pea)
Lineage: Eukaryota; Viridiplantae; Streptophyta; Magnoliopsida; Fabales; Fabaceae
Exons: 3
Source: RefSeq, a predicted model, not a curated record